CUUGAACCCGGGAGGCCGAGCUUGCAGUGAGCCAGGAUCGUGCCACUGCACUCCAGCCUGGGUGACAGAGCGAGACUCCGCCUCAUCAAACAAACAAACAAACAAACAAACAAACAAACAAACACAGUAGGCAUCCUUGUGAAGAGAAGGAAAAACACACACACAAACACAAAAGACCCCAAGUACACCAAACUAAUACUGAUCUCAUCUCCCAGAGGUCAGCCCACCCUCCCCACUCUGAGAGUGUUACUGUGCUUAAUAAACUUUUGCUUUGCUUUGCUGCUUUGUGUGUGUCAUGUACAGUUCUUUGUUUGGGACACCAAGAGCCUGG
Molecule: long non-coding RNA, 331 nt
Filed under: Homo sapiens (human)
Lineage: Eukaryota; Metazoa; Chordata; Mammalia; Primates; Hominidae
Description: HSALNT0295237
Source: RNAcentral